Molecule: long non-coding RNA, 1185 nt
Filed under: Mytilus galloprovincialis (Mediterranean mussel)
Lineage: Eukaryota; Metazoa; Mollusca; Bivalvia; Mytilida; Mytilidae
Source: RNAcentral
AUUUAAAUUUUAAAACACAUAUAAUAUUUAUUGCACAGCUAGGCAAGACUAUCCUUAGAACAUAAUCAAAAGUUUAUAUGCAAUAUUCACACAUUGCACAACAUGAUCUUGUCAUUAAAAAGCCCUAAAGUUCGUAAUAAGUCUUUGCAUGCAAUAAAGAUAAAUAUUGUUGAAUAUUGCACCUCAUAGAAUAUUCACUGCACUCAUGGUCAUUCAAUAUAAAAAUCUCUAUAAAAUGUAUGUGAUAUCCGUAAGAUCAUUGUAUCAUAACCAGAAGUUAGCAAGCAAUAUUCUAUGAUAUUGCACUUGUGAAAAAAUGCUUGAAAAUUGUGACAUAGUGUCUGUGUAAUUGCAAAAGGUUUGCAUUGCAAUGAAAGAGAUUGCAUGAAUAUUUUUGAAAAAGGUCUCGUAGAAAUUUUAAAAUUUUCACUGGCAUGCCUGUGCAAUUUAACUUUAUACAAGGGACAAAAUUCACCAAUAUUUGAAGAACAAUUCCAUAUAUUAUUAAAUAUGUUGAGAAAUUACUAGAAAAAGUAUACAAGGGUUUUAAAGGUGUAUUUAUAAAUGCUACUGGAGAAUGGAUCUGUAUUUGCUUAUUUGCAUAGAAAUAAUUGAUAUUCAACCUGUAGUCCCAAAUAUAAGUGAAGAUGUAAAUUUGUAAAAUAAUUGUAGAUUUGUAAAUAAACUUUGCCAUACAUACAUGUAUGUGAUUUGAACAUAAAGUUGAUUUUAAUCAUUGUACAAAAGGAAUCUAUUUUGGAAAACUGCAAAUUUUAUUUUCCUGGGUACUGUGAAUCUAUUAUUAUACAUGUACAAGAAUUGAAUGCUUUUUGUAAAUUCAUUGGGUGUAAAAGCUUUGACUGACGUACAUUUUGUAUAAAGCGCGCAAUCUAAAAAUGUGUGCAUGGUCAUGGUUUUACAAUCCUAUGAAGUAACAUAAAGAAACGUUCAAUGCUUAUAAUUACAUUUUUUAGCUAGGAUCAUGAAAACAAGAUUUCUUAAAGUUUUUAUCUAAUUUACCUGUACACUUUAUUGUGGGACCUCAUGUGAUCAUGACUGGUGAUGAUGUUACAUUUCAUUGUUUAAUGAAUGUUAAUAUCAGAAGGAUGUGAAAUUGGUGUUAGCCAAUCAAGAUAAGGUAUCAUAAUGAAACAUACAUGCUAUGUAAUGCCUCGUUCACACAGA